This 468-nucleotide ribosomal RNA is filed under the name uncultured bacterium. Its description in RNAcentral is "partial 16S ribosomal RNA". It matches the Rfam family "Bacterial small subunit ribosomal RNA", at positions 28 to 507 of the family's 1533-position model. The record is from RNAcentral.
GACGAACGCUGGCGGCGUGCUUAACACAUGCAAGUCGAACGGAAAGGCCCUGCUUUUGUGGGGUGCUCGAGUGGCGAACGGGUGAGUAACACGUGAGUAACCUGCCCUUGACUUUGGGAUAACUUCAGGAAACUGGGGCUAAUACCGGAUAGGAGCUCCUGCUGCAUGGUGGGGGUUGGAAAGUUUCGGCGGUUGGGGAUGGACUCGCGGCUUAUCAGCUUGUUGGUGGGGUAGUGGCUUACCAAGGCUUUGACGGGUAGCCGGCCUGAGAGGGUGACCGGCCACAUUGGGACUGAGAUACGGACCAGACUCCUACGGGAGGCAGAAGUGGGGAAUAUUGCACAAUGGGCGGGAGCCUGAUGCAGCAACGCCGCGUGCGGGAUGACGGCCUUCGGGUUGUAAACCGCUUUCGCCUGUGACGAAGCGUGAGUGACGGUAAUGGGUAAAGAAGCACCGGCUAACUACGUG